CGUCACGUCACGCAGGCGUUAGUUCAGGUUAGAGCCGUUUCUAUGGCUCUGGUUCAGGUGAAGUCAGACGAUGGACAGUUAUUAUUUACCUGAACUUAAUGCGAUACGACAGAGAGUAAACACGGGAUUCAAGCUUUGAAAGUCAAGGUGUCAUGGGGUCAUGGAUGCUGGUUUGGAUUCUGUGUACCACAGUCACUCUGAUGCCUGUGUGUCUUCAUGGAGCAAUAUCGGUCCGUUUUAAAACCGGACGGCUUCUGAAUGUUGCACUUGGCCAAACUCUUGUUUUGGAAGCCAUAUUUGAGAAGGAUCCAGAUGACAAGAUAGACAUGGUGACGUGGGACCGCAAGAGAGGAAGAGACAAUGUCAGACUGUCACAUGCAAACAGAAUAUCUUUGGAGAAGGAAGAUGCACUUCUGCGGGUCACUGAUGUUGCAGAAGGGGACUUUGCGAUCUACAAGGUCACCGUUACAGACAGUAACGGAUACCAGCAGUACGACUCAAUAGAAGUGCGAAAGAUAGUGGAACCUCUAAAGGCGUCAAUUGCACGCGUGCUGGAGUGUGUUGUGGAUAAUCAUGGCAUGACGCAGUGGGACAGCCCUCAGUUUUCAUGGCUGGUUGAUGGCGUUACAGUAACCAAUCAAACCGCCCUGUUAGCAGACGGCAGUAGACUAGACAUUUCUGAGGUUAAGGGCGUUAACUUCACCUGCAUCAUCAAGAGCAGCCUGGGGACAGUGACUACACAUUAUCAAAUACCAGAAGAAUCGUGCGAAUCUCAGCCCUGUUGUGCAGCACUGAUUGCAGUUGCAGUUGUAACAGCAAUAACACUUAUGGCUGGGUUCAUUGUCAUGAAGAAAUGCAAGAACAAUGCCAUCCUUUAGCCAAUACUGUACACUCACAGACAACAUUUGAUUUUUUUAUUGUAACAAUUUUGGUUUAAUUUAUUUUACUUAUGUUCUAUUUUACGUCAUAUGCUUUUCCCUCUUUUUUUAUGACUUUUAAUGGUGAACUUUUAUUAGAAUUGCAGAUAUGCUGUUCCUGCAUAUAUGUGACUCUCAAACAGUUUUCAGCUUCCAGGUUUAAAUGUUCUCAGGGUAGCAUGUUUUCUGACUAUCUAAACUUUAUUAGCUGUUUCUCUGCAGUUUUUCCGUUUGGUAGAUUUGAUAAAGUUCUUGUUUUAUGUCAAAAGAAUGUUCUUGUGUUCAUCGUAAAGAAUGAGUGCUUCUGAAACUUUAGAAAUGUGAGUUGUUAAAAUGGCUCCUAUGGAUAUUUAAGAUAUAAGCUGUUUUGUUUACAAAAAAUGAAUAUAAGUGCUAUUAAUUUGCUCUCUACCUCAUUUGUUCUUAUUAAUCUGCUUUUGGAGCAUUUGUAAGCACUGAUGUUUAAAUUUGUUCAGAGAAUAAGAGUCCAAACGGAUCUUGAGCGUGGAGUGUGACGGGAGGGUUUUACUGUAUGGAAGAUCUGCUUGUUUGAACAGAGAAUAGUGGCUUUACUCCACAGGAAAGGGAAAAAGGAAACGGCUCAGUUUGCAAACACGGUGACGCCUAAAGACCUUUAACUCUGUGAACUGAGCACAGGAGUUCACAGAAUACAGCAGCCCUGCAGAGACACAAACAGCACGUUUACUGUGGGAGCGUCGCUCUAGUGCUUUUAUGGGACAGGAGUUUCUGGAUACAAGCGUCUCUUUCAGGAAGUUAUGAGAGGUGAGUUAUGAAAAGCGUCCAGUAAUCUCACUCAUAAAGUGAAUGUGUCUGAACUUUGGUCGCAUGUAAUGUAUGAGGAAUAUCAGUCUUGCAGCUGUUUGUUCUAGGUGACAUGGAACUACGACUAGAGCGAUUCAUCAGGACUGUUCUGCUUCUGCACGUCUGCUGUGAGUUAUUCUGCAUGUCUUUGUAUGUUUAUGUGGAUUGUGUUUCAUGCCUCUCUGGAAU
Sinocyclocheilus anshuiensis is the source of this 1928-nucleotide long non-coding RNA. Ensembl lists it as uncharacterized. The record is from Ensembl. NCBI's taxonomy places the organism in Eukaryota, Metazoa, Chordata, Actinopteri, Cypriniformes, Cyprinidae.